AUUAUAGGCAUACUUUAGAAAACUGUGUAUAAAAUGGCUAUAGACAAUAAAGCAUAGAUUCCCAGGACUCGUGGAUUUUGAUAAUUACCUUUUAUUGUUGGGCUGCAUUUAGUAAUUAUGUUUAUUUUAAUUAUCAUAAGAAAUGUUUGUAAAAACAUACCUUAAAAUUUAUAUUAUUAAGUAGUACUGACUGGCAUAUACUAAACUAUUAAUUUAGUAACAUAUUGAAGAGAAGAGAAAUUAAAUCAAAGGAGACCUAGCAUAAAACAUGCCCACACUAGAAAAUAUGAUGUGGAAUGUGCACUCAGUGAAGAUCUGUCAGCAGACACAGACCCUUCAAGUAGAAUAUUCAUUGUUGCUUCAUACAUGAUUUGGAAAUGAAAUCCUCACAAUAUUGGUAAUUUGCUUCUACAUAGUUUUAUUCACUUAAAUAUGGUUUUGUCUUUAAAUGAUAAGUAAUUCAGUUAAAUAAUCUUCAAGUGCUUUCUUCAUUUUCACAAAGGUCAUACACCUGUGAUCAUAGAAUGAGUAUAUGAUUCCUGUAUUCAUUGUUUUUAUCUAUCUCCUGAUGAACAAUCUCUCUGGUUUUCCUGAAUUAAACUUUUGCCAAAUAGUAAUACCACAUCUUUAUUAUUAUUAUUAUUAUUAUUAUUAUUAUUAUUAUUCAUGUUUGGUCAGGUCAUCCUUGGUACCCCAUAAUCAGAUCUUACUUUUCAAGCAUGAAUUCCAUUAUUAAUAUUUAAAUAAGAAAUAGAAACUCACACAUGAAGCACUUAUACUGUAUUUAAUAAGAAAACAAAUGAUCUGCAGAUUUAUAAACCAUCUAUGUUCAUAAUUGUUUCUCAAAUAUAAGAAUAUUUUUAUUAUAUUCUAACAGAUUUUAUGAUAAAUAAAAGCUAUAUUCUAAGACAAUUAUUUAUUUUAGUCAUUUAUUUAAAUUUAUUUUUGUAUUUAGCAACAAGGUUUCAUAUUGCCCAGGGUGAAUUUGAACUCCCUGUGCAGCUACAGAUGACACUGAAACCUAGCGUUCCUGUCUUAUGCACCAUUUGAGUAUUGGGAUUACAAGCUUUCCAGUUUAUAUGUUGGGAGGAAUCAAUACAGAACUCUUUUUUUUUUUUUUUAGACAAAUCCUCUGUGUCAUAUCAUGUAAAGUAGCUUAUUUAGAUUUUAGAUGGCUUUAUGCAUACUGUUACUUUUUAGUUAAUUUUUAAUUAAACCAGUUAUCACUAAUCAAAUAAAAAUAAAAAUUAUCUCAAAUUUUUAUACUAAUCAAAAUUAUCUUCAAUUUCUGUUAAUUAGUCAAAUAAUCUAGAGUCAUACUGAGUUAUUCUGAGUAAUUUUUGUUGGUAGCCUUUCCUACUAUAAUUGAGUAAAUUUUCUUCCUAAAUUUAGUAAGUGAAAAGCAAUUGGUAUCAUUGUAGAUGAUACAAUGAUGUAGAGUCUAUAUGUUUUCCCUUAAAUAUGAAAUUUUCUCUCUGUCUUGUUUUGUACUUUUCCUUUUCAGAUUAGCUAGUGACUAGUGAGAACUUAUAUAUCACACAACAAAAUGAUAUUCAAGAUGGCAUAAUGCUACAAGUUUCAAUGGACUUGUCAAAAUAACACUUGUUUUGCACAUGGCAUUUAUUCAUCAGAAAGUAGAAUGAGUUCAUUAUUCCACUUUGCACCCUGUUUAAAAGCUGCUUCAAGAUCUCAGUAGAUAAAACUAUGUUUUGUAGGAUGUGAAUGUCUAUUGUUUUAGUGGACUACCUUCAUUAAUAUACUGACUUUGUAAGAUUGCAUAUGUGCAUGUAUAUAUCUAUGAAUUAUACAAGUUUGUUAGUUAAACAGGAAGAAUAAAUUUAAUGGCAUUCUUUUUUGUCCACCUAUUGUCCUGGAACUCUGCUAGGUGGAUAGUGCCUCUUUAGGAAGCUAAGACAAUUUAAAAUCUCCUCCUAUUACUCAAUG
RNAcentral lists this long non-coding RNA (1944 nucleotides) under Mus musculus (house mouse). RNAcentral describes it as "long non-coding RNA chr2:86038681-86040625". Lineage: Eukaryota; Metazoa; Chordata; Mammalia; Rodentia; Muridae. The record is from RNAcentral.